This is a long non-coding RNA of Antechinus flavipes (yellow-footed antechinus), 810 nucleotides long. RefSeq lists it as uncharacterized. The record is from RefSeq and is a predicted model, not a curated record. Lineage: Eukaryota; Metazoa; Chordata; Mammalia; Dasyuromorphia; Dasyuridae. The transcript has 2 exons.
UGGGACGCUGCGCUGCCCUCUGGUGGCCGGAGAGGGCCGUUGCUCAACUCCCAGCGUAAUGCUGCUGGGCCCUGGGGAAACCUGGCUCCAGACGUUGCUUCUGCCCAGGUGCAAGACCUUUCUCUCCCUGAGGGCCCAUUACGACUCAGCUCUCUAGCAGCGCAUCCUCGUUUUAUGUCGGUAGAAACCGAGCCACAGGAAAGAUUGCGGCAAGUGGCCGGGAAUAAAUGACUGGGCUGGGGCCGGACGCCAAGCCCUAGGCUUCUUAAUGAAGACCCUUUCACCUGUUGGAGUCGGCUGUGAUCUGUGAGGCCGGGCCUGCUUAGCCAUCCCGGGAAGCCCUGGAACAGAGCGGCUCCAGCAAGCGCAGUGCCUCGGACGGAGGGGUGCAGGGCCGGUCAAUGUUACACUCAUAUUGUAAUGCCAGAGAAACUGAGGCAGGAGAGAGAUUAGAGAGUUUUUAAUAUUUUAUUAAUGGGAGAGUAAGAUUGACUGGACAGGACUCUCGUCUCAAAUUGUCCAGCCAGACAGAGAUAAAUAUAUACUGGGACCAAGGAAUUCAUGUUGGUCCCAGGUCUGGAGAAGACUAUCAUCUCAAAGAAUCCAGCGUCCAGCAUCCACAGCCAGCCGCCAUUCUCCAGCAAUGAAUGGAGGAAUCUCUAACCUUUAUAUACCUUUUAGAGACAAAGAAGAGGGAAAAAGAGCGGGAAAAGCCCAGCUGGAAAAGGCUAUGAUAAAGAUGUCAGUGAAAUAUCUUGGAAUACUUUAAGGGAUGUUGUAAAUUUCUCAAGGACAGAAGAUAAUCAGGAA